GGGGAAUAUUGCGCAAUGGGGAAACCCCGGCCGCAGCAAUACCGCGGGGGUGAAGAGGGUUUUGGAAUCGUAAGGCUCUGUUAUGGGGGAGGAAAAAAGGACGGUACCCAAGAAAAAGGUCCCGCCUACUAACUGCCCAGCAGCCGCGGUAAUACGUAGGGGACAAGCGUUGUCCGGAUUUACUGGGCGUAAAGGGCACGCAGGCGGUUUUUUAAGUCAGAUGUGAAAGGUACCGGCUCAACCGGUGACAUGCAUUUGAAACUGAAAGACUUGAGUAUUGGAGAGGCAAGUGGAAUUCCUAGUGUAGCGGUGAAAUGCGUAGAUAUUAGGAGGAACACCGGUGGCGAAGGCGGCUUGCUGGACAAAUACUGACGCUGAGGUGCGAAAGCGUGGGGAGCAAACA
Molecule: ribosomal RNA, 403 nt
Filed under: uncultured Acetobacterium sp.
Lineage: Bacteria; Bacillati; Bacillota; Clostridia; Eubacteriales; Eubacteriaceae
Description: bacterial SSU rRNA
Rfam family: Bacterial small subunit ribosomal RNA
Source: RNAcentral